GGUUGUAGCUCAGUGGUACAGUGCUUGACUAGCAUGUGUGAGGCACUGGGUUCAAUUCUCAGCACCA
RNAcentral lists this transfer RNA (67 nucleotides) under Marmota monax (woodchuck). RNAcentral's name for it is "tRNA.Ala". Lineage: Eukaryota; Metazoa; Chordata; Mammalia; Rodentia; Sciuridae. The record is from RNAcentral.